AGAGUUUGAUCAUGGCUCAGGACGAACGCUGGCGGCGCGCCUAACACAUGCAAGUCGAACGAGCGAGAGAGAGCUUGCUUUCUUGAGCGAGUGGCGAACGGGUGAGUAACGCGUGAGGAACCUGCCUCAAAGAGGGGGACAACAGUUGGAAACGACUGCUAAUACCGCAUAAGCCCACGGCUCGGCAUCGAGCAGAGGGAAAAGGAGCAAUCCGCUUUGAGAUGGCCUCGCGUCCGAUUAGCUAGUUGGUGAGGUAACGGCCCACCAAGGCGACGAUCGGUAGCCGGACUGAGAGGUUGAACGGCCACAUUGGGACUGAGACACGGCCCAGACUCCUACGGGAGGCAGCAGUGGGGAAUAUUGCACAAUGGGGGAAACCCUGAUGCAGCGACGCCGCGUGGAGGAAGAAGGUCUUCGGAUUGUAAACUCCUGUUGUUGAGGAAGAUAAUGACGGUACUCAACAAGGAAGUGACGGCUAACUACGUGCCAGCAGCCGCGGUAAAGCGUAGGUCACAAGCGUUGUCCGGAAUUACUGGGUGUAAAGGGAGCGCAGGCGGGAAGACAAGUUGGAAGUGAAAUCCAUGGGCUCAACCCAUGAACUGCUUUCAAAACUGUUUUUCUUGAGUAGUGCAGAGGUAGGCGGAAUUCCCGGUGUAGCGGUGGAAUGCGUAGAUAUCGGGAGGAACACCAGUGGCGAAGGCGGCCUACUGGGCACCAACUGACGCUGAGGCUCGAAAGUGUGGGUAGCAAACGGGAUUAGAUACCCUGGUAGUCCACACUGUAAACGAUGAUUACUAGGUGUUGGAGGAUUGACCCCCUCAGUGCCGCAGUUAACACAAUAAGUAAUCCACCUGGGGAGUACGCCGGCAACGGUGAAACUCAAAGGAAUUGACGGGGGCCCGCACAAGCGGAGGAACAUGUGGUUUAAUUCGAUGAUACGCGAGGAACCUUACCCGGGCUUGAAUUGCAGAGGAAGGAUUUGGAGACAAUGACGCCCUUCGGGGCCUCUGUGAAGGUGCUGCAUGGUUGUCGUCAGCUCGUGCCGUGAGGUGUCGGCUUAAGUGCCAUAACGAGCGCAACCCCUCUCCUUAGUUGCCAUCAGGUUAAGCUGGGCACUCUGGGGACACUGCCACCGUAAGGUGUGAGGAAGGUGGGGAUGACGUCAAAUCAGCACGGCCCUUACGUCCGGGGCUACACACGUGUUACAAUGGCAGGUACAGAGAGACGGUCCCUUGCAAAACGGAUCAAAUCCUUAAAGCCUGUCUCAGUUCGGACUGGGGUCUGCAACCCGACCCCACGAAGCUGGAUUCGCUAGUAAUCGCGCAUCAGCCAUGGCGCGGUGAAUACGUUCCCGGGCCUUGUACACACCGCCCGUCAAGCCAUGAAAGCCGGGGGCGCCUAAAGUCCGUGACCGUAAGGAGCGGCCUAGGGCGAAACUGGUAAUUGGGGCUAAGUCGUAACAAGGUA
This 1467-nucleotide ribosomal RNA is filed under the name metagenome. RNAcentral describes it as "bacterial SSU rRNA". It matches the Rfam family "Bacterial small subunit ribosomal RNA". The record is from RNAcentral.